Molecule: long non-coding RNA, 384 nt
Organism: Calidris pugnax (ruff)
Lineage: Eukaryota; Metazoa; Chordata; Aves; Charadriiformes; Scolopacidae
Exons: 3
Source: RefSeq, a predicted model, not a curated record
CUUUCAACCUUCCUCUUGUCUAGGUAGGGAGCACCUAGCAGAGCCUGAAUAUGUGCUGAAGCAGUCUGCCUGGCACUCCACAGGGAAUGGAGGGGAUUAAAGCUUGUUCUGAGAAUGCACACCAGCACCUCCCAGGCAACAAUUUCUUCAGAGGAGUCCUCUUUCCUCACUGUCCACAAGUCAUCCCCGCACAAGGACUGCUGACAGCCUUUCCAGACCAGCCUGGGGAACACACAGACUGCUGUGAGGAAAAGAAAUCAAAAAGUUACACCACCACCCCCCAUUCAUUGACCCUAACAAUGUACACGUAUUGUGGAGGAUCAAAGAAUAUCAUUCUUCACACCCAAAGACAUUCAUUUUCUGAAGCACAGGGCUCUGCCAUAC